This 500-nucleotide ribosomal RNA is filed under the name uncultured bacterium. Its description in RNAcentral is "partial 16S ribosomal RNA". It matches the Rfam family "Bacterial small subunit ribosomal RNA", at positions 30 to 523 of the family's 1533-position model. The record is from RNAcentral.
AUUGAACGCUGGCGGAAUGCUUUACACAUGCAAGUCGAACGGCAGCACGGACUUCGGUCUGGUGGCGAGUGGCGAACGGGUGAGUAAUGUAUCGGAACGUGCCCAGUCGUGGGGGAUAACGUAGUGAAAAUUACGCCAAUACCGCAUACGAUCUAAGGAUGAAAGCGGGGGAUCGCAAGACCUCGCGCGAUUGGAGCGGCCGAUAUCAGAUUAGGUAGUUGGUGGGGUAAAGGCUCACCAAGCCAACGAUCUGUAGCUGGUCUGAGAGGACGACCAGCCACACUGGAACUGAGACACGGUCCAGACUCCUACGGGAGGCAGCAGUGGGGAAUUUUGGACAAUGGGCGAAAGCCUGAUCCAGCCAUUCCGCGUGCAGGAUGAAGGCCCUCGGGUUGUAAACUGCUUUUGUACAGAACGAAAAGGUUUCUACUAAUACUAGGAGCUCACGACGGUACUGUAAGAAUAAGCACCGGCUAACUACGUGCCAGCCGCCGCCGUAA